Molecule: ribosomal RNA, 276 nt
Filed under: uncultured bacterium
Lineage: Bacteria
Description: partial 16S ribosomal RNA
Rfam family: Bacterial small subunit ribosomal RNA
Source: RNAcentral
GGUGAACGUUGGCGGUGCGUCUAAUACAUGCAAGUCGAGCGAGGCUUCGAGCCGAGCGGCGGACGGCUGAGUAACACGUUGGUAGCUACCCCCCACUCAGGGAUAAGCGCGAGAAAUUGCGUCUAAUACCGGAUGGUCCCGAAAGGGUAAAGAUUUUUCGGUGGGGAGGCACCUGCGGCCUAUCAGCUAGUUGGUAAGGUAACGGCUUACCAAGGCUAUGACGGGUAACUGGUCUGAGAGGAUGAUCAGUCAGAGGGAAACUGAGACACGGUUCCC